GGCUAACGCUGGCGGCGUGUCUUAGCCAUGCAAGUCGAGCGGACUUAUGGGGUAACUUAUAAGUCAGCGGCGGACGGCGGAGUAACACGUAGCUAACCUACCCUCUGGACGGGGGAUAACCUACCGAAAGGUGGGCUAAUACCCGAUGUAGUCAUCCUGUAUAGGGGUGAUGAAAGGUGGGCUUCUGUUUACAAGCUCAUGCUGGAGAGGGGGCUGCGGCCUAUCAGGUAGUUGGUAGGGUAAUAGCCUACCAAGCCGAUGACGGGUAGCCGGCCUGAGAGGGUGACCGGCCCGAGGGGCACUGAGAUACGGGUCCCACUCCUACGGGAGGCAGCAGGCUAGAAAUUUGGGCAAUGGGGGAAACCCUGACCCAGUGACGCCGCGUGCAGGAAGGAGCCCUUCGGGGUGUAAACUGCUGUCGUGUAGGGAGAAGGGUACUAAGGUGAACAAUCUUAGUACUUGACGGUACUACAGGAGGAAGCCCAGGCUAACCUCGUG
RNAcentral lists this ribosomal RNA (498 nucleotides) under uncultured bacterium. Its description in RNAcentral is "bacterial SSU rRNA". It matches the Rfam family "Bacterial small subunit ribosomal RNA", at positions 28 to 507 of the family's 1533-position model. The record is from RNAcentral.